CCGCGCGGGACCCCUUGCCGGGACUCUGUCUCCCGCGCCGAGAUCUCUGCCGUUCCCCGGGCGUCCCCAGCCUAUCCGUCCCGUUCACCGGCAACCUUCUUUCUUCUCCGCCCCGCCCUCCAGCGGGUAACCUCGACCCUGACCCUCGGAGGCCCGCCCAGCCGAGGAUGCCCCUCUUUUCCCGCCACGGCCUCGCUCCCCGCGGGAUCAGUUUAGCCUCGGCAAGGGAUGCUCCAAAGGCUGGGGCGUGCGUGAAUUCCCUUGGGCCGCCCCUUCCCAGAACUGGGGUCUUCCUGCGGCUGGAAAGCCUCCCCGCUCUAACUCGCCCGGGAUCCUCUUCUCUCAACGGUUUCUAGACUUUGGCAGGACCCAGGGCUCAAAUGAGACCUUCAGGCCCCUGCCUGCCUAGCAGAGAGCGGAGGGCCGGGAAAUCAGGGGAUUCCCCAACCCCCCGGGGGCUUGCCCGCCCUCCUUUCCCUCCAUCUCCUCGGGCCUGGAAUCUCUGGGCUGACAAUGGG
Molecule: long non-coding RNA, 518 nt
Filed under: Homo sapiens (human)
Lineage: Eukaryota; Metazoa; Chordata; Mammalia; Primates; Hominidae
Description: HSALNT0207933
Source: RNAcentral